Molecule: ribosomal RNA, 482 nt
Filed under: uncultured bacterium
Lineage: Bacteria
Description: partial 16S ribosomal RNA
Rfam family: Bacterial small subunit ribosomal RNA
Source: RNAcentral
AUUGAACGCUGGCGGCAUGCUUUACACAUGCAAGUCGAACGGUAACAGGCCGCAAGGUGCUGACGAGUGGCGAACGGGUGAGUAAUGCAUCGGAACGUGCCCAGUCGUGGGGGAUAACUACUCGAAAGAGUAGCUAAUACCGCAUACGAUCUAUGGAUGAAAGCGGGGGACCGUAAGGCCUCGCGCGAUUGGAGCGGCCGAUGUCAGAUUAGGUAGUUGGUGGGGUAAAGGCUCACCAAGCCAACGAUCUGUAGCUGGUCUGAGAGGACGACCAGCCACACUGGGACUGAGACACGGCCCAGACUCCUACGGGAGGCAGCAGUGGGGAAUUUUGGACAAUGGGCGCAAGCCUGAUCCAGCAAUGCCGCGUGCAGGAAGAAGGCCUUCGGGUUGUAAACUGCUUUCGUACGGAACGAAACGGCUCUGGUUAAUACCCGGGGCUAAUGACGGUACCGUAAGAAUAAGCACCGGCUAACUACGUG